GACGAACGCUGGCGGCGUGCUUAACACAUGCAAGUCGAACGGAAAGGCCCUGCUUUUGUGGGGUGCUCGAGUGGCGAACGGGUGAGUAACACGUGAGUAACCUGCCCUUGACUUUGGGAUAACUUCAGGAAACUGGGGCUAAUACCGGAUAGGAGCUCCUGCUGCAUGGUGGGGGUUGGAAAGUUUCGGCGGUUGGGGAUGGACUCGCGGCUUAUCAGCUUGUUGGUGGGGUAGUGGCUUACCAAGGCUUUGACGGGUAGCCGGCCUGAGAGGGUGACCGGCCACAUUGGGACUAAGAUACGGCCCAGACUCCUACGGGAGGCAGCAGUGGAGAAUAUUGCACAAUGGGCGGAAGCCUGAGGCAGCAACGCCGCGUGCGGGAUGACGGCCUUCGGGUUGUAAACCGCUUUCGCCUGUGACGAAGCGUUAGUGACGGUAAUGGGUAAAGAAGCACCGGCUAACUACGUG
Molecule: ribosomal RNA, 468 nt
Filed under: uncultured bacterium
Lineage: Bacteria
Description: partial 16S ribosomal RNA
Rfam family: Bacterial small subunit ribosomal RNA
Source: RNAcentral